AUGGAUUCUAGGAGAAAUAAAAUUAUUAAGAUUAUCUCGCAAGAACAAGAAGAAGACGAUGAACUAUUUUUCUUUUUGGUUCCCGCUUUAUAUGCUUCCCUUUAUGAGGAAAAGCAUCCAGUUCACACAUCAUCUUUAUCUGGAGCUGCAAAGGUUAAGGAAAUAUUAGAAGGCCACGAGAGUUGGUCUAGGGUUGAGUUUCGGAUGGAACCUGAGAUUUUCAAGUCUAUCGUGGAUUACCUUAGAAGAGAGAAUCUAUUGAAGGGCACAUCGCGUGUUGCUGUCAAGGAGCAGUUGGCAAUGUUCAUGUACAUGAUUUCGCACAAUGCUAGUAAUCAAGAUCUACAAAAAUACUUCCAACACAGCGCAGAAACAAUUCAUAGGAAGAUAAACAGGAUUUUUGACUUAAUUCCAACUCUAGCCCAAAGAUUUAUAAAGAUUCCAAGUUCACUCCAGCCCCACCCGAAGAUUGUUUCGAACAACCGCUAUUGA
RNAcentral lists this ribosomal RNA (492 nucleotides) under Triticum aestivum (bread wheat). Its description in RNAcentral is "partial small subunit ribosomal RNA". Lineage: Eukaryota; Viridiplantae; Streptophyta; Magnoliopsida; Poales; Poaceae. The record is from RNAcentral.